UCAACAACGGAUCUCUUGGUUCUGGCAUCGAUGAAGAACGCAGCGAAAUGCGAUAAGUAGUGUGAAUUGCAGAAUUCAGUGAAUCAUCGAAUCUUUGAACGCACAUUGCGCCCCUUGGUAUUCCAUGGGGCAUGCCUGUUCGAGCGUCAUUUGUACCUUCAAGCUCUGCUUGGUGUUGGGUGUUUGUCUCGCCUCCGCGUGUA
RNAcentral lists this ribosomal RNA (203 nucleotides) under uncultured Leptosphaeriaceae. Its description in RNAcentral is "5.8S ribosomal RNA". The stretch from base 1 to 149 matches the Rfam family "5.8S ribosomal RNA". Rfam says of the family: 5.8S ribosomal RNA (5.8S rRNA) is a component of the large subunit of the eukaryotic ribosome. It is transcribed by RNA polymerase I as part of the 45S precursor that also contains 18S and 28S rRNA. Lineage: Eukaryota; Fungi; Ascomycota; Dothideomycetes; Pleosporales; Leptosphaeriaceae. The record is from RNAcentral.